UGGGGAAUAUUGCACAAUGGGCGCAAGCCUGAUGCAGCAACGCCGCGUGAGGGACGACGGCCUUCGGGUUGUAAACCUCUUUUAGUAGGGAAGAAGCGAAAGUGACGGUACCUGCAGAAAAAGCACCGGCUAACUACGUGCCAGCAGCCGCGGUAAUACGUAGGGUGCGAGCGUUGUCCGGAAUUAUUGGGCGUAAAGAGCUCGUAGGCGGUCUGUCGCGUCUGCUGUGAAAAUCCCCGAGGCUCAACCUCGGGCCUGCAGUGGGUACGGGCAGACUAGAGUGCGGUAGGGGAGAAUGGAAUUCCUGGUGUAGCGGUGGAAUGCGCAGAUAUCAGGAGGAACACCGAUGGCGAAGGCAGUUCUCUGGGCCGUAACUGACGCUGAGGAGCGAAAGCGUGGGGAGCGAACAGGAUUAGAUACCCUGGUAGUCCACGCCGUAAACGUUGGGCGCUAGAUGUGGGGACCAUUCCACGGUUUCCGUGUCGCAGCUAACGCAUUAAGCGCCCCGCCUGGGGGAGUACGGCCGCAAGGCUAAAACUCAAAUGAAUU
RNAcentral lists this ribosomal RNA (549 nucleotides) under uncultured bacterium. RNAcentral describes it as "partial 16S ribosomal RNA". It matches the Rfam family "Bacterial small subunit ribosomal RNA", at positions 355 to 911 of the family's 1533-position model. The record is from RNAcentral.